ACAAAAUGACCAUAAAAGAAAAAUAUUUUGAAUCUUUUCAGGAUUUCUAGGCAGCCAGCAAGGCACAACUAAAGAUAGUCACAAAACGGGAUUUCCAAAACUGCUGCAGAGAAUGGCAAGAAUGACAGCCCCUUCAGCAGAAGUAAUGCUGUUACUAAUCAGGAGGCAGAAGUCCUAAGGCUACGGAGGACAAAGUUGGAUAAAAAUGUUCCAUGAAGGUAAUAGCACGGAUCUGAAAGGCCCAUGAUGGGGAGUCUCUUAC
This 262-nucleotide long non-coding RNA is filed under the name Fukomys damarensis (Damara mole-rat). Its description in RNAcentral is "lncRNA (ENSFDAG00000028306.1)". The record is from RNAcentral. Lineage: Eukaryota; Metazoa; Chordata; Mammalia; Rodentia; Bathyergidae.